Molecule: small nucleolar RNA, 85 nt
Organism: Coffea eugenioides
Lineage: Eukaryota; Viridiplantae; Streptophyta; Magnoliopsida; Gentianales; Rubiaceae
Product: small nucleolar RNA R12
Exons: 1
Source: RefSeq, a predicted model, not a curated record
GUGGGAAUGAUGAAAAAAUCAGACGGAUUCCCAUUGAUUACCUUCGGUAAGAAUGAUAAAAAACAACCAGCUAUUUCUGACCUCC